AACUUUUAGCAAUGGAUCACUUGGUUCUGGCAUCGAUGAAGAACGCAGCGAAAUGCGAUAAGUAAUGUGAAUUGCAGAAUACAGUGAAUCAUCGAAUCUUUGAACGCACAUUGCGCCCGGUGGUAUUCCGCCGGGCAUGCCUGUUCGAGCGUCAUUUAAACCAAUCCAGCCUCGUGCUUGGGUCUUGGGCCUUUCGCCUCUGGGCGGGCCUCAAAAUCAGUGGCGGUGCCGUCUGGCUCUAAGCGUAGUAAUACUCCUCGCUAUAGACGUCCGGUGGUGUCUUGCCAACAACCCCUAAUUUUUAAAGGUUGACCUCGGAUCAGGUAGGGAUACCCGCUGAACUUAAGCAUAUCAAUAAGCGGAGGCU
Molecule: unclassified non-coding RNA, 367 nt
Filed under: uncultured Leotiomycetes
Lineage: Eukaryota; Fungi; Ascomycota; Leotiomycetes
Description: sequence contains ITS2
Rfam family: 5.8S ribosomal RNA (bases 1-154)
Source: RNAcentral